This 27-nucleotide non-coding RNA is filed under the name Homo sapiens (human). Lineage: Eukaryota; Metazoa; Chordata; Mammalia; Primates; Hominidae. The record is from RNAcentral.
UGGACCUUGAGGACAGUCGUCCAGGAC